RNAcentral lists this ribosomal RNA (1503 nucleotides) under uncultured bacterium. RNAcentral describes it as "partial 16S ribosomal RNA". The record is from RNAcentral.
UACGGCUNCCUUGUUACGACUUUACCCUCCUCACUAAGCAUACCUUCGACGGCGUCCUCCUUGCGGUUAGACUACCGGCUUCGGGUAUCCCCAACUCGGAUGGUAUGACGGGCGGUGUGUACAAGGCCCGGGAACGUAUUCACCGUACCAUGCUGAUGUACGAUUACUAGCGAUUCCAACUUCAUGAAGUCGGGUUUCAGACUUCAAUCCGAACUACGGGUGGCUUUUUGCGCUUUGCUAUAACCUCGCGGCGUCGCGUCGCUUUGUACCACCCAUUGUAGCACGUGUGUAGCCCUGGACGUAAGGGCCAUGAUGACUUAACGUCAUCCCCACCUUCCUCCGGUUUGUCACCGGCAGUUUCGCCAGAGUCCCCAGCUUUACCUGCUGGUAACUGGCAAUAGGGGUUGCGCUCGUUGCGGGACUUAACCCAACACCUCACGGCACGAGCUGACGACAGCCAUGCAGCACCUGCACAGGGGCGUAUUGCUACGCUGACACAUCUCUGCAUCAUUCCCCUGCAUGUCAAACCCAGGUAAGGUUCCUCGCGUAUCAUCGAAUUAAACCACAUGCUCCACCGCUUGUGCGGGCCCCCGUCAAUUCCUUUGAGUUUCACCCUUGCGGGCAUACUCCCCAGGCGGCACACUUAACGCGUUUGCUACGACACCGAGCCACAAGGCCCAACAUCUAGUGUGCAUCGUUUAUUGUGCGGACUACCAGGGUAUCUAAUCCUGUUUGCUCCCCGCACUUUCGCGCCUCAGCGUCAGUCUUAGGCUAGAAGUUUGCUUCGCCAUUGGUGUUCUUCCUAAUAUCUAUAGAUUUCACCCCUACACUAGGAAUUCCAACUUCCCCUCCUAGACUCGAGCUCAGCAGUUUCCGAAGCAGUUCCACAGUUAAGCUGCGGGAUUUCACUUCAGACUUACAGAGCCGCCUACGCGCCCUUUACGCCCAAUAAUUCCGAACAACGCUCGCCCCUUACGUGUUACCGCGGCUGCUGGCACGUAAUUAGCCGGGGCUUAUUCACCACCUAACGUCAUCACACGGUCAUUACCUACCAUGCUUAUUCUUCAGUGGUAAAAGAAUUUUACAACCUUUCGGCCUUCGUCAUUCACGCGGCGUCGCUCCGUCAGACUUUCGUCCAUUGCGGAAUAUUCUUAGCUGCUGCCUCCCGUAGGAGUUUGGGCCGUACCUCAGUCCCAAUGUGGCCGAUCACCCUCUCAGGCCGGCUAACUAUCAUAGCCUUGGUGGGCCAUUACCUCACCAACUAGCUAAUAGUACGCAGGCUCAUCCACAGGCGGCGCCGAAGCGCCUUUCCUUACCAAACCAAAGUCCGGUAAGGAUAUUCGGUAUUACCCUAUAUUUCUACAGGCUAUCCCCAACCUACGGGUAGAUCACCCACGCGUUACUCACCAGUCCGCCGCUCUAGGCGGUAUUGCUACCGCUUGCCGCUCGACUUGCAUGCUUAAGACGCGCCGCAGGCGUUCGUUCUGAGCCAGGAUCAAACUC